This is a long non-coding RNA of Paramisgurnus dabryanus, 2628 nucleotides long. RefSeq lists it as uncharacterized. The record is from RefSeq and is a predicted model, not a curated record. NCBI's taxonomy places the organism in Eukaryota, Metazoa, Chordata, Actinopteri, Cypriniformes, Cobitidae.
GAAGAAGGUGCUGUGCACGGGCUCAUUUGACUACGCAUAGUACUGUAUUAGAGACUGAAACGGUUGGAGUUUCUACAUUUGUGUUGUACUGAAGAAACAAAAUCACAUACAUCUUGGAUGGCCUCGGGACCCUUUUGCCAGUAUGAAGCCGAUUUCAACGGUAACUGCAGAAAGCGUCAGCACGCUCAGCUCAUCACUGGAGUAACGUCUGUACAACGGGUGAGAUAAAACUCAACGCCUGACUGAAUCAUCCAUUCCCUUUUCGAUCCUACGCCAUACGUUAAACUUGAGGUAAGUCUUGUGUUCAGUUUCCUUAAAAAGCAUCAACAUUCACGCUAAGCAUAGUUUCAAUCGAGUUCCCGUCACAUCAUAUAUUAACUCUAUUUCGAACUGUUGCUGAUUACAUGUUGGUUAUUAUUGAUUCGUUCAUGUUCCUUUGACAUGUUCAUGUACUUUUUUCCAGAUGAAACAAACAUAAAGAAUUCAUAAUUCAUUUAAGAAUUAUUAAUUAGGACAACAUCAAAUUAUUUAUCAUGUCUGAGAAAAGUAGUGCAAAUUUUGGAUAAUAUGAAAGUGGCUCCAACUUUUAUGGCGCGAACGAAGCUAGCAUUGACUAGCUGGGAUGUUAAAUAAUGGGACGCAAUUUUUAUUAAAUGCAAUUUACGUGAUUAAUAUUUACAAGCAUAGUGUUCUUUGGAGGAAAAUUAAGUGGAACAAAAUGUUAGCUGGUAGUGCUGUGACAAAUCGCAGUUGAUCCGAACCACGGUUUGGCUCGCAUGUGAUUCGCGGAUUAAUAUAUACCAGUGUAUGGAAUGUCACAAUUAUAGAUUUGUGUGUAAACUUAAACAUGUCUUGAUGGACCCUAAUUUAUGCACUGUGCAGUUAUGCUGGUAGUUGGGUAAUGUCAUAAUGGUUAUUGGGUUGGGCUUGGACUAAAAAAGGGAAAUUGUAAUGGUUUAGUAUAAUAAGACAUUAUGUAUGGUUUUGUACAAUGCUAAUCUUUUUUUCUUUUUUCCUCAGGUAAUCUUGCUUUUGCUGUUCUAAAAUAAACACUGCUCUUAGGUAAGAAUGGCUGAUCAAAUGCAUUAUUUUAAAUCUAAUCUGAGACACAAAGCAGUUAAAUCGUUGUCUAAUUUGCUGCAAGGUAUUAAGAACGACAGUAAGCUUGUUGACGAUGAUCUGACUGAUGACUGAUAUGUGUGAUGAGAUUAAAACUAUGGCUGUGCAAAAAAAUCGAUACAGCUAACUACCAUGAUAGUUAGCUGUAUCGAUAGUGUAUCGAUAUUUCGAUCUCUACUGUCGAUAUUUUAAAAACCAUCAAAUCCCUCUGUGUGCGUCAAACGACCUCCUCGCCGCUGCUAUAGUUGUCACUGUCCAGUUGUCUGCCAUAUACGGCCAUUCGGCCAAUGUCUCAGAAGUUAGAGGGAGUGAGAAAAUGGCAGAAAAUUUUAAAACACCUGCAUCUUUCAAAGAGCUGCAGGUGUUCAGCUCUAUUUUUUACAUUUUUGAUUGUAUUGUGAUACGUAUCUUAUCAUGACCCAUGUAUCGUGACACGUAUCGUAUCGGGAGGCCCUUGCCAAUACCCAGCCCUAAUUAAAACAACUUUUCUUUUAGCACACCACCCAUACAUGGCACACAAAACAGGUCUUGUGAGGGGGCUGUGCCCACAGGUAGAAAUUCUGUAGGUCCACGGGCUUCUCCCCUUUCAGCGAACAUCACAGCGCUUAGUCCACCAUCGUGGUCUCCAAUCUCCAUUACCAACAGCCUGAGUGCUACACCUACAGACACCCCAACCCAUGCAGCAGCUGGCAGAAGUCAGACAUCAGGCCAAACUGGAUUUCAACACACCCCACCCUUACAUGGCACACAAGUAUAUGACACACAACACAGGUCUUCUCAGGAGGCUGUGCCUACAGAGAGCAGCAGUUGCAGACUUCACCCCAGACCCAACACAUUUUGGGCUCCCACUUUCAACUAUUGAGGAGCUACAAUGUUUGUAGGAGACAUUAAAUAAUCCAGAUGAGAAGAAGAAUUUGGUGAGACUGUUUUUCCUGGAAUGGUCGGAGACAAGACUCUUAAAGACACUGUGGGGUGGGUCCUGAAAAAAACUAUGAACUCUUCGUGGUGAGACUCAUCAAUUGAAGUGGGGUCAACUGAAGCCUGCAUUCAAAGGGCUCACUUUGAAAAGUGUGGUUUUGGAUGCAGUCCGCCGGAAUGCCCUGACCAAAGAUAACACAGAAAAGGAGAUAGAGCUCCUCAUCACCAGGUGGUCGGUGCUAGCAUAUGACAGGGAUGGUGGCCGAAUCCAGACAAUAGACAGACAAUGAAUUAAAAUGUUUUAAAUUUAAAAAUGUUGAUUUUUGGAAAAUUCGUAUUUGAACUGAUUGUGUGUGUGUGUGCACCUGGUAAUUAUCACGUUGUGUCCCCACAAAGAUAGGAAUACCAGUAUUUUUGUGACCUUGUGUCCCCAUGAGGAAACAAGCUUAUAAAUCAAACAAAAUGAUGUUUCUUGUAAAUGUGAAGUAGGAGAAGGGUUUCUGUGAUGGUUGGGUUUAGGGAAUGGGGUAGGUAAGGGGAAUAAAAUAUACAGUUUGUAUGGUAUAAAAUGCAUUACGUCUAUGGAAUGUC